UAGGGGAGAACAUUUCUGAGGAAGAACCUAUAAUGAGCUACAAAUCCAUUCUUAUUUCUUAUUCAGUGCUGAAUACUACCUCAUGCAAAAUAUUGGUGUGGCUGCAAAUUUCCCUCUGAAACUGACACAAAUAGAGAUCAAUUUACCAUAACAUCUUUAUUUUGCCUCAUUUCAUUCUGUUUCAUAUAAUUUCUCCUCUUAUGAUUUAUUUCAUUUUGUUAGAUUCUGAAUUAGGUAUUUAUUUCUUUUUGCAAGUGACUAUUUGAUUAACAUAUUAAAAAUGAAAGUUUCCCCUUUAAGUUAUGAUGGCUGCCUAUAGAAUUUAGACUGUUCCUUACAUUGACCCAUCCUUAUAUUAUGUUGUUAGCUACCACCUCAAGGUCACUUUUACGUCAGAUUUGACAGUUUUCUACAGGUGUGCAAGACUAUGGAAUGUUAUAUGGCUGCUGAAUCAGAGAUUCCAAUGACUGCCAUGCCUCUUGCCAACCAAGUUUAAAAUGGUUAGAGUAGCAGUGGUGUUGAUACUGCUGUUUUUAUUGAGUUUUCUUUCGCCUUCAUUUUUCCCCAGAAUUCAGUUUUAAGCUGUGAACCUAUCCCUUUUCCCUAUCCAAAUACUUUCUUCUCAAUGGGCAGUCAGAGUUUUUUUUGGCUUCCAUAGCCUUUACUGAGCAUGUUCACAGGAUUCCUCUCAUUAAGAAAAUAUCUUUUUUUCCCCUACAAUUUUCUGAUGUAUGCGUCCUCCCAGAAGUGCAAGUGCAUCCUAGGAGGGCUUUGUAAGCUGAUUUUACAGGCAGGCUGUGCCUGCAAAUAGUAAAUUUGUGCAAGAAUCCUAAAUCUCUCUUUGCCCAAUGUUUUUUCCUCCUUUUAAACAUGCCUGAAGAAAAGUUACAAGGGCCAGAAGGCCAAAUAUUCUUUAUUUUCCUUCUGAAAACAUGUUACACACUUAAAUAUGAGGGGACAAUUUUGGUUCCUAAGUCCUAAAGAGCUCUGUUCCAUUUAUCCUGAAUCCCUUGGUUUUGGAGUCUGACAUACUUUUCAAACAACAGUUUUCAGAAAUUCCCUGGGAAAGACAACUUCUUCAUGCAAUCUAAGGGAUUUAGUUUGCAUUGAUUGAUUGCUUUCCUACAAGUAGGGGAAUAUACUAUAUAACAAGGGAUAGGAAAAGAGAGCCAUGAUGGAAUGUAGUAUCUUUUUUUUUCUUUCCCUAAGCUGACUAGUCCGUGAACCUGUUCUUAGCAUUUCUUUGAUCCUCUUAAAGCCAGCACAUUAAAUUAUGGUCCAUCUUAUUACCAAAAUAGGUAAUGGGCAAAGGGAUCCUGCAGUUCCUGCAGAGCAGUGGUUCUCAAAAUGUAGUCCCUGGAACAUCAGUAACAACAUCACUAGGGACCUCCUUAGAAAUACCAAUUCUAUUUCCCUGCCUAGACAAACUGAACCAGAAACUCUGGGUAUAGUGCCCGGCAAUCCAUAUGAAUCAGAUGCCCACUGAAGGUUGAGGGCUUUUUAAACCACAGGUGUAUGGGCCCCUGCCCUUACAGUUUCUGAUUCAGUUGGUCUGGGAUGGGGCCUCCCUCUUUGCAUAUCUAAAAAUUCUCAGAUGAUGCUGAUGGGACUGUACUUUGUGUAUCACUGCUCUAGAGAAAACAUGUUUAAUAGGGCUAAUUUCACCUAAGGUACCCAUUCAAACAAAUUCCUUGAGGUGGUGAUGCAGUAGUCACUAAUGAGAAAUGUUAAAGGAAAUACAACUCAGAACUCUGAAAACUGGACAGAACCACCCAGAGUAUUUUCCCAAUGUGUCACUUCACAUAUGACUGACUGAUUGUAUGGGGGAAUUUAGAUGACUUUUUUCUAUAUACCUAUCAUAUCAUUAAAAAGAAAACAAAGUGGUCCACUUGAAGCAGCGAAGAUAAAGGGCUGUUUGGGCAGAGGCAGGGGUAAAGUGGGAUAGCUCAGCUGGGCAUCCAAGGUGGAAAAAAUUAUUGUUGUACAUAAUAGCAGUUCUGGCUGGAAUCACAAGGACCAUUUUAUGGGGAUCAUUUUGAUGUUGAAUGCUCCCCAAGGCAUUCUGACAAGUCUGGUCCACUUGGCUCUUUACCCAGGGUAAUAAGACCCUUACUGACUUUGAAAAACUGGCAUAAAUGAGCUUAAGAAGUCUAUUGUAUACAGUCCUAGUGUUUGCCUUCUUGGAAAAAUUACAUUUAAGGAUGUCAUUUCAUGAGUCAAAUUGUAUCUGCUGACACUGAAGUGUAUUGAGAUGUUGUUCUUUAGUUUAAGUAUGUAACAAAGUAAUAUUCAAAGGGGAUGUGUGGGGGUGGGGCUGGGACUGGGUGGCUUUAUAUUGAUAAUGAAAUAUUCCAGAGCAAAACACAUUGUCCUAAUGAAGUUGUUGCAGCUCUCUUUGUUUUCUUGUGAGGCUGACAUUGGCCUGUGGGUCACUUGUUGUGCAAAAGUGAAUUAUUUUCAAAUAGGAAUCAUAUUGCUUUUGUAAAACAAAGAAAAUCAACCACCUUGUCUGAAAUAGAUAUUGUGAGGCGCUCUUGGUGAAGAAAAACCCACAAACACCUGAUCUUGAUUGGAAAGCAUUGUAGGUCAUUAGGGAAAACUGAUGAUACUGACUGUUGCUCCAGCUGUGUUGGCAAUUAAAGAUGACCUUGUUACUAACCUAAAGUCACUGUCAACCUUAGUUAGCAAGGAAACCAGCUAACACCAUUACAGCACUGGUCAAGUAGACUUUACUGGCACUGGCUGGCAUUCAGCUGAGGAAGGCUAGGAUACAGACUUUAAUGACCAAGAGCCAGACUAGCUCAAGCUAGAAAUUCAGCAACAAAUACCUCCUCAUGCUAUUUGAAUGCUAAGGUAUUAGUUGCAAAAGGCUUACGCCUUCGCUCCUCUAGUGAGGGGAAUGAGCCUGAUGACGCUAUUACUGUUUACCUGUCAAACCAGGGUGGAAAUUUAGAGGGAUGCAAGUACAGUAUGUCUCAUUAAGCAGUCUCUGUUGCUGAUUAUAUGAAGAUGAAAUUGUUGUAUAUGCUGAUCUGUAUGUUAUGUACAUUUUCACAGUGAUUGAAUCAUUGUAAAAAGAAAAAGACAAAAAAGAAUCAACACACUGUCUAUUUUAUGAAGAUGAUAAAGCAGCUUUAUUAAAUUAUUACAGUUAUGUUUUAAAUGGUGUUAUCUGCCACAUUGUUUCCUUUUAUCUGGUGGUUCUCUGUUUCCCCCUUAAAUGUGUUUUCUCUGCUUCAAAAAUUAAAUGCAUUUUAGUAUUAAAGGCUAUUAUGGAAAAAUUAUUGA
This 3288-nucleotide long non-coding RNA is filed under the name Marmota monax (woodchuck). The record is from RNAcentral. Lineage: Eukaryota; Metazoa; Chordata; Mammalia; Rodentia; Sciuridae.